ACUCCAGUUCACGGGGAACAGCCACGUUGGAAACAGAUGACCACAUCGCCCCGGUAUAAUGGGACCAUGGUGAACACCUGACCCAAGCUGGGACAGUCAGAGUCUCUUCCCUGGAAAUCAGGGCUGGUUUUUCUUGCUGGUUCAUCUGGAUAAAUAGUAAAAUUUGUCCUGUGUAGGCUUGUAAGCCUACGGACCGUAUUCUAUCCUGUGAAAUGGGGAGAAGGAAAAGGAGGUGAAAACAAAGCGAGUGGCUUUGCAGGAAGUAAAAAGGCCUUGCAGAAUCUUCUCACUGCACUUGAGUUCUGAGCUCCAGUGACUUGGUGAAUGCUGAUGUGUUCUUGAAGAGGAGAGGGAAAACGGAAGAGGAGUAGGCUGCUGGAGGUCUUUAAUGCAUCGGUUUCGAUGUUCACUGGGUGGUUAGAACUUAAGAUUUUCCAGCAAUAGUCAGUCACAGUCUAGCUCAUUCUGGACGUGCAGGAGUUACAGAAAAAGAAAAAGAAAUAGUAGUUGUCUUUAAAAAACCCUGCUGGCAUAAUGCUUUUCCUUUUAAAUGUUUUGUUAUGAAUAUAAAGAGAGAGAGAGGGAGAGAGCGAGAGUGAGACAGAGAGAGAGACAGACUAUUAAUUGCCUCUUUACCUCCCACAGUCCUGGCUUGGGUGUAAAACAUUCUUCCUGCAUUAAUUAAGGGUUCUGUCUGCUCACCCUGAAAACUUCUGGUUCAAUUACUUAAAAAAAAAAAAAAAAAGAAAUGGCACUGAAGACGAAAUUUGUUUUCAUUUUGCAGGCAAAAGGAUGAUAUCCUCAGGGCCUCAUAAUCAGUGUCACCUUCUAAAGGUCAGAUGACCUUUAUCUUUAGUGAUCUUACCCAAUAUGGAUUCAACAGCAAUUUAUGGGUAGGCGGAGGUUUAUGCAAAACAUUCCAUAAUUUGCAAAGAUUAAUGAAAGAGCCAAGUGUAAGUACGUUAACUUAACCAGUUGGAAAGCAAGCUUAAGAAAAGGUAGAAACGAGUACAAAACUAACUUUGAGCUUGUUCUAAACUAAACUCGGUAUUCUUCUUUUUUAAGUAGAAAAUUACUUCUAGGGAGCUCAGCGAAUUUGGCCAAUGCUAUCUCAGUUUCAACACUCAUCUGGAAUCUCUAAUAUACUUGUUUGCUAAAGAACAAUUACAACCCUGAUGUUAGAAAUCAAGGAUGAGGUACGACUAUAGAUUUUCCAUACUAUAGUGGGAGAGAAGUUUUAUGCAUCACUGCGUUCAGGAGGAAAGAAAGUCAAACUUGGAAAUAAACCUAAACAGAUCCUCUCUGUGAGCAUAAAGAAGGCAACGGAAAGCAGGUGUUAUCCCGGGAGGGUUGUUCUCGAACUUUUGGGUUUCACUGACUUAUUGAGCGCUGGGGCUUGGGGGACGAGUAACCUCUUAUUUUGCCGGCAUGAAAACCUAUCCUCUACUAAGCACCCUAACGCAUGAAAGAGGGUUUCACACGAGGUAUAGGAAGGACCUUGCGGCAGGGCUGCUGCGCAGGCCACAAAAGCUGGACUACAUUUCCCAGCUGCCUUGCCGGUGAGCGCUGGGCGAGGCGGAAGUGAGCGUCUGCGCUUGCUCUCCCGGUCCGGAAAUCCUCCCCCCACACCUUCCUUUGCACGUGUUCAGCAGAUGCCCAGCCUCCCGCUAAGGUCCCGAAGCUCCAGUCCGGGCUGUUUCGGGGGAGGCAGGAACCUGUGUGCCCGAAUGGCCACUGCCGACCCAGAACAUCUUCACUCUGUUGGACUCCAAGUGAGCCAGCGCGGAGCUGAAACUCAGACUAUAAGGAGGGGGGACACUGGCCGGUGAAGCGGCGUCCCCCUCUCUGGGAGCCUGAUGAGGCUCAUCUGGGAAAGCAGGGGGGAAAAAAACCCUGGAAAGUGGAGCCAGCUACUUCCAGAAUCAGCUGCAUCCUCCAGGUAAGGAACUGGUGCUCAGGUAGCAUCAGUAGCUGUAGCAAAACAGAGCAACCCGCAGAAACACAGACGAUGAAACAAAAACAGCCCAAGAGAGCACCUGUCCCUUAUCCCUCGUCCAGUCUUUCAGUCUCCUUGCCGCACUCCCUCCUGGCAAAACCUCCAGGAAACAGCCAGAAAAAGGAGAAUGUGGUUUGCGGAGUUCCAGCCAUAGCACCCUAUAGCUGAGUAUGGAAAAAGGUGGGUUUUGAGAAGAAAGACAAUAGCUUAAUCGUCAGCACAGUAAGACAUAUACUUUUAUUGUUUUACAUAGCUAAGGUAUUUGGUGGUGGUUACAAUAGCUAAUCAAAACAGAUCCCCAAACGAAAUUUAAGUGGAAGAAAUUUAAUUUCACGAAAACCCAUUCAACUACUACUAUUUUUUUUUUUUUUUUUUUAAAUUUCACUAAGGAUUUAGUGAAAAUCCAGCUCUUGGCAGGUUCAUGGGAGGCGUGUGAGAACCAUUGGUGUAGAUAGGUCCAUCUUUUCUUCUAAGUAUUGGAAUUCUCCAACAUUUGCAGACGCAUGGGUGUGGUUGUGGGAAAGAAAGGGGGAAUUUUGGUUGGGCGCAGGAACAAAAGGUGGCAUGAAAAAUGAAGUGAUGGUUUAGUACCAGUUUCCUUUGGAUUCCUUAGAAUUUAAAUUCCUUGGGUUUAAAUUUCUCUGGUUAGUGGAGUAGGAAUGAAAACGAACUUGUUGGUGUGAGAAUCUGGUGGAGGGACUGUCGUCAAUAGAUGGCAGAACUGUCCAAGAGAAACUUUGGAUCCAAGAAGAGCUGCUUUGGGGUCCAAAGUGUGGAACAGAAAUGGGGCAGAAUUUAUAUCCUGUGCGCUUUUUCAUGGGCUGUAGCAAUGCUCUGACAGCCCAAGAAUUGAGGGUUUUGAGUAUAUCCCAAGAAACCACAUGAGUUGGCCUCUCUGGCAUCAGCUCUGCACCUUCUCCCCUCUCUCACCAUCUCCUGUUUCUGGGACAGGCUGCUCCUACCUCAGGACCUUUGCCCUUGCUGUUCUUUUUCCCAAGGUGAUCUGACCCCAGAUUCUACCAGUCUAUUCCUCACUUCUUUUAGGUCUCUGCUCAAAUGUCAUUUUACUAGCAAAUUCUCUCUAUAACCUGCUCACCCAUACUCAUCUGGUACUCCAGUUACUAUCUGACACAUUUUAUUUUUCUUUGUUUAUGCAUACUAGAAUAAGUUGCUAUGAGAGCAGGGUGGGGUUUUUGUUUGUUUGUUUGUUUUGCUUUGUUUUUGUCUGUUUUGUUCACUUCUAUAUCUCUGGUACCUAGAAAAGUUCCUGGUCUAUAAUAAGUUCUUAAUAAAUAUUAGUUGAAUUACUACUGUUGCUGUUGCUGAAGGCAUCCUUGACAUGGACAUGCUGCUUAUUCCCAUGACCAUUCUUAAAAUAUACUUCCCGUUUUGUUAGUCCUUUGUUUAAAAAUCCUCAGGUGGCUUCUCUGUACUUUCAAAAUAAAUUUCAAUUUCUUUAUGUGGUCAGGAAGGCUUUCUCAACCUAUCCCUGCUAAUAUCUUCAGUCCCAAUUUUGGCCAUUCUAAAUCUUUCUACUCUCCUCUUCGGCCAUAUUGAGGUACUUGUAGUGCCUAGUGAAACCAUGGUCACUCUCAUCCUCUGAGUUUUGCACAUGCAGGGCCACUUCUGCUUUGAAGAUACUUUCCAUCCCUCUCAUCCUUUAGGAUUCAGCUUUUAGACAUCAUUUCUUCUAGAGAGAUUUCCUACCCUCAAGGCUGGGUUAGUCCAACAUUGCAUAGUAUUGAUUUGUAUGAUAGCACCCAUCAUGGUAUUUUUUGUUAGCAUAAUUUAUUACAAUUUAAGAACUAGACUGUCUUAGCUUGGGCUACCAUAACAAAAUAUCAUGAUUGGGUGGCUUAAACCACAGAAAUUUAUUUUGCACAGUUUUGCCGGCUGGAGGCCUGAGAUCAGGAUGCCAAUGUGGUUGAGUUCUGGUGAGAGCUGUCUUUCUGGCUUGCCGUUAGCUGCCUUCUCUGUGCACUUACAUGGCCUUUCCUUGGGGCCUGUGCCUGGAGAGACAGGGAGAGAGAG
This is a long non-coding RNA of Mustela lutreola (European mink), 4027 nucleotides long. RefSeq lists it as uncharacterized. The transcript has 3 exons. The record is from RefSeq and is a predicted model, not a curated record. Lineage: Eukaryota; Metazoa; Chordata; Mammalia; Carnivora; Mustelidae.